ACCGGCCUGCAAAGCAGGUGGGGGAACAACGUCGGUUGAACCAACAUUCAUUGAACAGGGGUUCGGCUCGUAUACAUGGUUCGGUGUGCAGUGUCCGCCAGUCCGGAAUGCCUAAAGAGCCACGGCUGAAUCCCACCGCUUAUUGGCGGGUUCACCGGCGCUUCCAACACGGCCCAGCGGGUCGGUC
This 187-nucleotide non-coding RNA is filed under the name Terriglobus roseus. Its description in RNAcentral is "6S / SsrS RNA". It matches the Rfam family "6S / SsrS RNA". Rfam says of the family: E. coli 6S RNA was the first non coding RNA to be sequenced, but its function was unknown until recently. It consists of 184 nucleotides that fold into an extended hairpin structure with a large single-stranded internal bulge. The 6S RNA specifically associates with RNA polymerase holoenzyme containing the sigma70 specificity factor. The record is from Rfam by way of RNAcentral. Lineage: Bacteria; Pseudomonadati; Acidobacteriota; Terriglobia; Terriglobales; Acidobacteriaceae.